UUUUUUUUUUUUUUUUUUUUUUUUUUUUUUUUUCC
This 35-nucleotide non-coding RNA is filed under the name Alexandrium minutum. Lineage: Eukaryota; Dinophyceae; Gonyaulacales; Pyrocystaceae. The record is from RNAcentral.